UGAUAACAUAAGGGAAAAUAAUGAUAAUACCUUAUUAUAAGUGUCGUCCAAAACUGGUGCCAGAAGACUCGGUAAGGCCAGAGACACAAACGUUAAUCGUCUUAAUCAGGCGUAAAGGGUUUGUAGGCGGCUUUAAAAUUAAUUUAUAUUUAAUGAAUUAAAAAUAAAUUAAAAAUAAAAGCUAGAAUCAAAUAGAGGAUAUAUUAAAGAAUGCUUAGAGUAGGUCUGAUAUCCUUAGAUACUAAGUAGAAUAUUAAAGGCGAAAGCUUUUUUCCAAUAAUGAUUGACGCUCAGAAACGAAGGUGAGGAUAGGAAAUAGGAUUAGAUACCCAAAAUACCCCUCUCUGUCAACGAUGAAUGGUAAUUAUUAGUACAAAUUAUUAAUAAUAAUGUUAACACGAUAACCAUUCCGCCUUGUGAGUACAAUUGCAAAGUUGAAAACAAAAAAAUUAGUCGGUUUCGGAGCAAACGAAGUGAAGCAUGUUAUUUAA
RNAcentral lists this ribosomal RNA (491 nucleotides) under Russula betularum. Its description in RNAcentral is "partial 12S small subunit ribosomal RNA". It matches the Rfam family "Bacterial small subunit ribosomal RNA", at positions 434 to 949 of the family's 1533-position model. Lineage: Eukaryota; Fungi; Basidiomycota; Agaricomycetes; Russulales; Russulaceae. The record is from RNAcentral.